AGUGAACGCUGGCGGUAGGCCUAACACAUGCAAGUCGAACGGCAGCACAGUAAGAGCUUGCUCUUACGGGUGGCGAGUGGCGGACGGGUGAGGAAUACAUCGGAAUCUACUUUUUCGUGGGGGAUAACGUAGGGAAACUUACGCUAAUACCGCAUACGACCUACGGGCGAAAGCAGGGGAUCUUCGGACCUUGCGCGAUUGAAUGAGCCGAUGUCGGAUUAGCUGGUUGGCGGGGUAAAGGCCCACCAAGGCGACGAUCCGUAGCUGGUCUGAGAGGAUGAUCAGCCACACUGGAACUGAGACACGGUCCAGACUCCUACGGGAGGCAGCAGUGGGGAAUAUUGGACAAUGGGCGCAAGCCUGAUCCAGCCAUACCGCGUGGGUGAAGAAGGCCUUCGGGUUGUAAAGCCCUUUUGUUGGGAAGGAAAAGCAGCAGGUUAAUACCCCGCUGUUCUGACGGUACCCAAAGAAUAAGCACCGGCUAACUUCGUG
Molecule: ribosomal RNA, 492 nt
Filed under: uncultured bacterium
Lineage: Bacteria
Description: partial 16S ribosomal RNA
Rfam family: Bacterial small subunit ribosomal RNA
Source: RNAcentral